GGAUGUAGCUCAGUCGGUUAGAGCGCCAGGUUGUGGCCCUGGAGGUCGCGGGUUCGAAUCCCGUCAUU
This 68-nucleotide transfer RNA is filed under the name marine eukaryotic metagenome. It matches the Rfam family "tRNA", at positions 5 to 66 of the family's 71-position model. From Rfam's summary of the family: Transfer RNA (tRNA) molecules are approximately 80 nucleotides in length. Their secondary structure includes four short double-helical elements and three loops (D, anti-codon, and T loops). The record is from RNAcentral.